Equus caballus (horse) is the source of this 164-nucleotide small nuclear RNA. Its record names the gene U1. It matches the Rfam family "U1 spliceosomal RNA". Rfam says of the family: U1 is a small nuclear RNA (snRNA) component of the spliceosome (involved in pre-mRNA splicing). Its 5' end forms complementary base pairs with the 5' splice junction, thus defining the 5' donor site of an intron. Lineage: Eukaryota; Metazoa; Chordata; Mammalia; Perissodactyla; Equidae. The record is from Ensembl.
AUACUCACCUGGCAGGGGAGAUACCACGAUCAUGAAGGUGGUUUUCCUAGGGCGAGGCUUAUCCAUUGCACUCCAGAUUUGCUCACCUCUGCGAUUUCCCCAAAUAUGGGAAACUCAACUGCAUAAUUUGUAGUAGUGAGGGACUGCAUUCGUGCUUUCCCCUU